Molecule: ribosomal RNA, 1884 nt
Filed under: human gut metagenome
Description: bacterial LSU rRNA
Rfam family: Bacterial large subunit ribosomal RNA
Source: RNAcentral
UCAAGCGAACAAGGGCGCAGGGCGAAUGCCUUGGCACUGGGAGCCGAUGAAAGACGUGAUAAGCUGCGAUAAGCUUCGGGGAGCUGCAAAUAAGCAUUGAUCCGGAGAUUUCUGAAUGAGGAAACUCACCUGGGUUCAUACUCAGGUACAAUACACUGAAAUUCAAAAUAGGUGUAUUGAGGGAACCGCCUGAACUGAAACAUCUAAGUAGGGCGAGGAAGAGACAUCAAACGAGAUUCCGUAAGUAGUGGCGAGCGAACGCGGAAGAGGGCAAACCGAAGGUAGAAAUACCUUCGGGGUACGGACUGCUUUUAGGACUCAAUCUGUUAACCGAACGGCAUGGGAAGGCCGGUCAGAGAGUGUGAGAACCACGUAGGUGAAAACGGAAAGAGCUGCGCAGAUUCCAGAGUACGGCCAGACACGUGAAACCUGGUCGGAAGAUGGGGGGACCACCCUCCAACCCUAAAUACUACCCAGUGACCGAUAGCGUAUAGUACUGUGAAGGAAAGGUGAAAAGCACCCCGGGAGGGGAGUGAAAAAGAACCUGAAACCCUGUGCCUACAAGCACCUAGAGCGCGUCAAAGCGUGAUAGGGUACUUUUUGUAGAACGGUCCGGCGAGCGAUUGUAUGCAGCAAGGUUAAGGACUUAAGGUCUGGAGCCGAAGCGAAAGCGAGUUUGAAAAGGGCGUUAAGUUGCAUAUAAUGGGCCCGAAACCGGGUGACCUACCCAUGGUCAGGUUGAAGUGGAAGUAAAAUUCCAUGGAGGACCGAACCGACCUCCGUUGAAAAGGCGGCGGAUGAACUGUGGGUAGCGGAGAAAUUCCAAUCGAACCCGGAGAUAGCUGGUUCUCCCCGAAAUAGUUUUAGGACUAGCCUCAAGUUAGAUACCUGGAGGUAAAGCACUGAAUAGCCUAGCGGCCGAGAGGUUAGCGAAGCUUAUCAAACUCAGAAUGCCAGAGUAUUGAUGCUUGGGAGUCAGACAGUGUCAGAUAAAUGUCAUUGUCAAAAGGGAAACAGCCCAGAUCUACAGCUAAGGUCCCAAAGUCAGGUUAAGUGGAAAACGAUGUGAAGAUACGCAGACAACCAGGAUGUUGGCUCAGAAGCAGCCACUCAUUCAAAGAGUGCGUAAUAGCUCACUGGUCGAGCGUCUUUGCGCGGAGAAUUUAACGGGGCUAAACCUGACACCGAAGCUUAGGCAAUACAGCAAUGUAUUGGGUAGGGGAGCGUUGUAUACGCGGAGAAACAGUAGCGCAAGCGGCUGUGGAGUGUAUAGAAGUGAGAAUGCCGGAAUGAGUAGCGCGAAUGCAGUGAGAAUCUGCAUGGCCGAAAGCCUCAGGUUUCUGGAGGAAGGUUCGUCCGCUCCAGGUUAGUCGGGAGCUAAGGUGAGGCCGGAAGGCGUAGCCGAUGCACAGACGGUAGAGAUUCCGUCACCACCAAAAGAGUUAAGCACAGGGACACAUUUGAAGUCUCAGAGCCGGGUGUUGGUUCCGGUAGAGAUCGAGGGAAAUUAGUACCGAAGUCUGAGAUGGAAGAUGGCGAGAAAAGCUGUGUGUAUUUCUGAGGUGCCCGUACCGCAAACCGACACAGGUAGGUAGGAAGAAGAUUCUAAGGCCAACGGGAGAAGGGUUGUUAAGGAACUCGGCAAAUUGACCCCGUAACUUCGGGAGAAGGGGUGCUCCAGAGAUGGAGCCGCAGAGAAUCGGCCCAAGCAACUGUUUACCAAAAACACAGGUUUGUGCUAAAUCGAAAGAUGACGUAUACGAGCUGACGCCUGCCCGGUGCUGGAAGGUUAAGAGGAGAUGUGCAAGCAUUGAAUCGAAGCCCCAGUGAACGGCGGCCGUAACUAUAACGGUCCUAAGGUAGCGAAAUUCCUUGUCAGGUAAG